This 1836-nucleotide long non-coding RNA is filed under the name Gossypium raimondii (Peruvian cotton). RNAcentral describes it as "long non-coding RNA (GRAI_LNC003373)". Lineage: Eukaryota; Viridiplantae; Streptophyta; Magnoliopsida; Malvales; Malvaceae. The record is from RNAcentral.
UCAACUAAGAUUUUUCUUUGAGGGCGACAAAAUGUAGUCGCAUAUGAAUUUUUUGUAAGAGUUUCAUGGUAACUAUAAAGAAAAUUUUGUUCCCAAGUUACGAUUUUGCUUUUGGAGUUUGAGAUUGUACGUUUAGUACUUUCAAGUAUAUUUUCUCCAUAUUGUACUCUCGUUUAUUUACUCAUCUAGUGAGAAGUUAAUACCUCCUUUGCCCGUGGUUUUUCCCUCGUUCUUCUCCACUUUUCUUAUUCGUUGUUUACAAGGGUUGAUCCCCAACAAGAAAAUUAAGUAGAGAAAUAUAAAAAACUGUCUUAACUAAUCAUUAGUAAAUGAGAUUGGAUAUUAGCAGAACUACUUAGAAACUUAGGGUGAGUUUGAAUUGGCGGUGCGUUUACCUGCAGUUAGUGUAAAAACAGCGGUGGCAGUGAGAUUAGAUACUGUAGCAACACUGUAACGUGAGACAAAAAGUAAGCUAAACGCACCACACUGUACCCAAUCGCCCAUCUAAACCCACCCUUAGGCAAAAACAAAAUGUAAUGAACAAUGAAAAGAAUUUCUUUUAGUAAAGAUGACAGGGCAUCUGCAUUGCAAUUCUACAAAGAACAACAACUUUGUUAUAAAGCAAGUAAAAAGCAACAAUAAAGCUACUGGAAGUUUACUAGGGAUGCUACUUGUUGGCACAUAAUUCUAUCUUUCAAGAACUCACAGGGGAAUUUAUUCACAGAAACUACCAUUGAACUUAAAUAAUGAACAAUGAAAUUAAAAGAAGAGCAAAAUGCAAAUUGGAACUUAUAAUGACUCAUUGUUUAUACACACCUCAAUGAGUUUGACCAGAUUCCAUCAAUCCAAAAGCUAGUGAUAAAUAUUUAAUCCAUUUUAAAAAAGGAUUCAACCAAAUGCUCUUAUGGAGAGCCAUGGCUUGCACCGAAUGGUUUCGACUAUCUCUAGCUAGCUCGUAAUAAAACCCUUCGUUGAAAUCAACUAAAGAAUUGAAAAAAGAUUCAACAAGCUAAGUGAAAGACUUUAGAAACAAGCAAUCAGCUUACUGCCAUCAUCAAAGCAAAGAUUUUUACAGUUACUGUUCUCUCUUAUUUGCAAAGGCUAAAAUCCCUAAUAAGCAGGUAUAUACUAGAAAUAACCCUAAAAAUAAGCAAGAUGCAAGUAAAAGCUAAAAUUGGAGAACAAUAUGUUUUUAAUUACCUUACAAGCAUUGAGACAAAGCAUGAGAUAACAAUGUUUGAGAAUCUGCAAAACAAAAUUAAGAAAAACAACUGAAUUGGAACCCUAAAUCUAUAAAAAAACAUGUUGAAACCACUUUUUGAAAACAAAAAUAGAGUCGACUUUUAUUUUGAAAAUAAAAAAUGGGAGUCCUAUUGACUUUUUUUGAGGUUUGAUCGGAUUACCUUGCAAUUCAAUUGUUUUGAUAAAACGUUUUGAUUUUAUUAAAACAAUAAUUUUGAUCUACGGAAUUCAAGAAAAACAGGUUUGGUAGUAAGUUACAUGCGAGGAAGGAUUAGCACCCUCGUUAUGCCCAAAAUUGGUAACUAAUCAUUGAUUAAUAUCUUAAUGUCGAAAAUUUAAAAAUUCGGAAAGAAAUUCAAAAACAUAAUUCUUUUAAAACCACUUAAAAAUUUAAGGAAGGGUGCUCUUCUCGUUAAUCAAGAAUGAUAAAGCAAAAAAAUCUACAUAUUUAGAAUUGACAAAAUAUGUGCGUCUGAGAACAUAUAUACGUAUGCAUGUAUAUUUUAAAAUUAUAAAAUAUAAAUACGUAUGUAUAUAAUAUAUAUGAAAAUAAGAAAUGCAUAUAAAUUAUAGAGUAUAAAAAUAUAUAUAAAU